Molecule: unclassified non-coding RNA, 299 nt
Filed under: Hevea brasiliensis (rubber tree)
Lineage: Eukaryota; Viridiplantae; Streptophyta; Magnoliopsida; Malpighiales; Euphorbiaceae
Source: RNAcentral
AUGAAGACAAAAUCUCAAAAUCCUAUGACCAAUUCUAUUAAGCCAAAUCUUAUAAGUAAUGGUCAGAAUGCCCUUGGUCCAGGUGAGUUUACAGAAUUUCGGUGUGGACUUAAAAUGAAUGGGAAUAAUUGGAAGGCUCAAGUUCAAAGAGAUGGUGAAUGUGGCAGUGGUUGCCGGAGCUCUGAAUUUCGAUGAUUGGAAGACUCAACUUUUUCCCGAUUUGCGUCAAAAGAUUGUCAUGUGGGAAUGUGAAACACGAUUCAAUAAAGUCGUGUUGGCUCAUGGCACCUGAUCCAAAU